Molecule: non-coding RNA, 24 nt
Filed under: Rattus norvegicus (Norway rat)
Lineage: Eukaryota; Metazoa; Chordata; Mammalia; Rodentia; Muridae
Source: RNAcentral
UGUUGUUUAAACAGUGUCUUUUGA